This is a long non-coding RNA of Dendronephthya gigantea, 287 nucleotides long. RefSeq lists it as uncharacterized. The record is from RefSeq and is a predicted model, not a curated record. The transcript has 3 exons. NCBI's taxonomy places the organism in Eukaryota, Metazoa, Cnidaria, Anthozoa, Malacalcyonacea, Nephtheidae.
ACAUACUUUGUUGUUAUCAAAGUGAUUGUCAUUUUGCGUUCCAAAGCUUGCGACGAAUACCUGCAUCGUAUGUUGAUGUAAACAGUUCAUUUCUGGCUGGUAAAAUGUCCGCCACGCUGAUAACUCAAAUCCGAAAAGAUCAUGACGAUAUUCACAUCAAAACAUACACCAGGUGGUUAAACUGGAAACUCGGUAAGGCAGGACCUGUUGUCAAGAAUUUGAUCGAAGAUUUACAAGAUGGUCGUGUCUUAAUAUCACUUGCCCGUGUUCUGUUGAACGUAAAAAUU